This is a long non-coding RNA of Hypanus sabinus (Atlantic stingray), 900 nucleotides long. RefSeq lists it as uncharacterized. The record is from RefSeq and is a predicted model, not a curated record. Lineage: Eukaryota; Metazoa; Chordata; Chondrichthyes; Myliobatiformes; Dasyatidae. The transcript has 6 exons.
GACCUGUUCAAUAUUGGUACAUAUCUCAAGACUGUCCUCCUGAUCUUUGCUGUAGACCAUGCAAGUAAAAUAUAGCCUAAAUGGAAGGAGACCUCCUCCUGCUAACUGUGCUCUUUCGAAGACCCUGACCUGGAGUUACAUGCUGACUGCGGUUCUUUGCUGGAACAGGACCCGCUCUUGAGGUUUCAGUACUGACCGUUGUUCGGCACGCCAAGGGUUUGUCCUGAGAGUCCGGUUCAGAUUUGGAAGUCUAAGAUCUUGAGGCACUGGAGACGGGUGGAUUGAAGGUUGAACUCAGUUGGGACAUGCCCUAUUGGCUUCCAAUGACAAGACGUCACUGACAUAUGGUAUUGUAGAAACACGACCUUGGUGGAUAAGAGGUUGUAAAGACUGUAUGUGAAUUUAGAAACAGCAAUGCCUCUGGAACAGAUGGUGUUCCUGCUGAAGUUCUGAAAGUUGGCAGAGCGGAACUUCAGAAGGCCACAUCUCCCCAACUUAAUGAUCAUCUUCAUGGUCACGGUCACCUUCAAGAAUGGAUAUGAACAUAAUUGCAGUGGAUCUUCUUGGUAUCUGCUUCAGGGUUGAUUGUCAUAAGGAUCCUCCUCAACUGCUUCCUCCCGGGAGAGCCAGCGUGCUCAGUCCAGGUGAGAUCUUCAGUGAUAUGUAUACUGAGGAAAGACACAUCGAUGUCUAUUGGGGUCUCAAAUGCCUUUUUGAAUCCGCUAAUUGACUACUUGUGGUGAACUAUGUGCCUGUCUGGACACGCCCCCUGCUGACUGCUCCUGUGGCUCCUCCCACAGGCCCCUGUAUAAAGGCGAUCUGAGGCCUGACGCUCGGCCUCAGUCUCCAGGUCAUAGUAUGAUGGACACUCACUCCUGGUUCCUUCUUCCAGUCAAUAAA